GAUGAACGCUAGCGGCAGGCUUAACACAUGCAAGUCGAGGGGUAACACGGGUGCUUGCACUUGGUGACGACCGGCGAACGGGUGCGUAACGCGUAUAGAAUCUGCCUCAUACAGGAGGAUAGCCUUUAGAAAUGAAGAUUAAUACUCCAUGGUCUUAUUGGUUGGCAUCAAUUAAUAAGUAAAGAUUUAUUGGUAUGAGAUGACUAUGCGUCCUAUUAGUUAGUUGGUGAGGUAACGGCUCACCAAGACAGCGAUAGGUAGGGGGUCUGAGAGGAUUAUCCCCCACACUGGUACUGAGACACGGACCAGACUCCUACGGGAGGCAGCAGUGAGGAAUAUUGGACAAUGGGCGAGAGCCUGAUCCAGCCAUGCCGCGUGCAGGAAGACUGCCCUAUGGGUUGUAAACUGCUUUUAUACAAGAAGAAACCUACUUACGUGUAAGUAGUUGACGGUAUUGUAUGAAUAAGCACCGGCUAACUCCGUGCCAGCAGCCGCGGUAAUACGGAGGGUGCAAGCGUUAUCCGGAAUCAUUGGGUUUAAAGGGUCCGCAGGCGGUCGAUUAAGUCAGAGGUGAAAUCUCACAGCUUAACUGUGAAACUGCCUUUGAUACUGGUUGACUUGAGUUAUAUGGAAGUAGAUAGAAUAAGUAGUGUAGCGGUGAAAUGCAUAGAUAUUACUUAGAAUACCGAUUGCGAAGGCAGUCUACUACGUAUUGACUGACGCUCAUGGACGAAAGCGUGGGGAGCGAACAGG
RNAcentral lists this ribosomal RNA (753 nucleotides) under uncultured bacterium. RNAcentral describes it as "bacterial SSU rRNA". It matches the Rfam family "Bacterial small subunit ribosomal RNA", at positions 28 to 776 of the family's 1533-position model. The record is from RNAcentral.